CGGCUAAUUCCGUGCCAGCAGCCGCGGUAAUACGGGAGUGGCAAGCGUUAUCCGGAAUUAUUGGGCGUAAAGCGUCCGCAGGCGGCCCUUCAAGUCUGCUGUUAAAAAGUGGAGCUUAACUCCAUCGUGGCAGUGGAAACUGUUGGGCUAGAGUGUGGUAGGGGCAGAGGGAAUUCCCGGUGUAGCGGUGAAAUGCGUAGAUAUCGGGAAGAACACCAGUGGCGAAGGCGCUCUGCUGGGCCAUAACUGACGCUCAUGGACGAAAGCCAGGGGAGCGAAAGGGAUUAGAUACCCCUGUAGUCCUGGCCGUAAACGAUGAACACUAGGUGUCGGGGGAAUCGACCCCCUCGGUGUCGUAGCCAACGCGUUAAGUGUUCCGCCUGGGGAGUACGCACGCAAGUGUGAAACUCAAAAGAAUAGACGGGGGCCCGCACAAGCGGUGGAGUAUGUGGUUUAAUUCGAUGCAACGCGAAGAACCUUACCAGGGUUUGACAUCCUGCGAAUCUCCUGGAAACGGGAGAGUGCCUUCGGG
RNAcentral lists this ribosomal RNA (532 nucleotides) under Synechococcus sp. KUAC 3034. RNAcentral's name for it is "bacterial SSU rRNA". It matches the Rfam family "Bacterial small subunit ribosomal RNA", at positions 494 to 1024 of the family's 1533-position model. The record is from RNAcentral. Lineage: Bacteria; Bacillati; Cyanobacteriota; Cyanophyceae; Synechococcales; Synechococcaceae.